GUUCAGUGUGGCAUGCUUUACAGCUUAGAACCGGGGCUCCAAAAGCGUUUUGAGCACCACGGAGCAUAUGAGAUGUUCGAAGAGCUGAAACUAGUUUUUCAAGCUCAUGCCCGGGUCGAGAGAUAUGAUGUCUCCGACAAGUUCUACAGUUGUAAGAUGGAGGAAAACAGUUCUGUCAGUGAGCACAUCCUGAAGAUGUCUGGGUUGCACAACCGUAUGACCCAGCUGAACAUUAACCUCCUAGAUGAGGCGGUCAUUGACAGAAUCCUCCAGUCGCUCCCACCAAGCUACAAGAGCUUUGUGAUGAACUACAACAUGCAGGGGAUGGAAAAGACCAUUCCUGAAGUGUUCUUGAUGCUGAAGUCAGCAGAGGCUGAAAUCAAGAAAGAACAUCAAGUGUUGAUGGUCAAUAAGACCACUAAGUUCAAGAAGGGCAAGGGUAAGAAGAACUUCAAGAAGGACGGCAAAGAUGUUGCCGCGCCUGGUAAGCCAGUUACCGGGAAGAAGUCAAAGAAUGGACCCAAGCCUGAGACUGAGUGCUUU
This 543-nucleotide ribosomal RNA is filed under the name Triticum aestivum (bread wheat). RNAcentral describes it as "partial small subunit ribosomal RNA". The record is from RNAcentral. Lineage: Eukaryota; Viridiplantae; Streptophyta; Magnoliopsida; Poales; Poaceae.